This 217-nucleotide ribosomal RNA is filed under the name Campeiostachys nutans. RNAcentral's name for it is "Elymus nutans partial small subunit ribosomal RNA". The stretch from base 39 to 217 matches the Rfam family "Eukaryotic small subunit ribosomal RNA", at positions 684 to 864 of the family's 1831-position model. Lineage: Eukaryota; Viridiplantae; Streptophyta; Magnoliopsida; Poales; Poaceae. The record is from RNAcentral.
GAACCGAUGGAUCGGUCACGCCAUUCGGUACGUACUGGUAUUGUUGGUUUCUCCCUUCUGACGAACCAUGAUGUCAUUUAUUUGGUGUUGUGGGGAAUCAGGACUGUUACUUUGAAAAAAUUAGAGUGUUUAAAGCAGGCUCACGCUUGAAUACAUUAGCAUGGAAUAAUGAAAUAGGACGUUUGAUUCUAUUUUGUUGGUUUCUAGGAUCGACGUA